Molecule: long non-coding RNA, 877 nt
Filed under: Setaria italica (foxtail millet)
Lineage: Eukaryota; Viridiplantae; Streptophyta; Magnoliopsida; Poales; Poaceae
Description: long non-coding RNA (SITA_LNC006066)
Source: RNAcentral
GUUCAAAUACAAAAGACAACUAAACCACUACGGUACACCAAACACUUCUUUAUUACAAUGCCUGCCUGCUCAAUUUGGGUAAUACAUAACACAAAACCACACAAAUGCAAACAUCACGGCUAAAGGGGCCAAGAUCCUCCACCAACUUGUCUGUCUUGUUGAUAAAAAAAAUCACAGUUGUCUCUGACUCUUGCAGCUUCCAUUCUAAUUCAUGGAGUUUUACUGCCAUCUUAGACUCCUAAGCAUCAGAUUCUUGGUGCAGGUUGACAGGUUUCUUCUUCAUCUCGGCCAAGGCCUCAAGAAGUCAGGAGCAAGGGACCAUGGAGAGAGUCACAUGUUGACGCCGCACAAUACUCCAUCCACCCUGGUCGACAAAAAAGUAGGCAUGAGGAUAUCCUCCCCAAUCCAAAGUUUGCAACCCUAAAAAUAAAUUAAAAAGGAACUCCAAAGUUUGCAACCCUAAAAAUAAAUUAAAAAUGAACUGCUAUUAGAUCAAGUAGUUAUUCAAGCGAAAAUGAGAUAGAGAAAUCAACUGCAGAACUAAUUUUGACAACAGAACACACACAAAAAAGACUCGGCCAAAAACUGCUUUGCGACAGAUGAAGAACUGGCUGGGAGUUCAAUCCGUCUCUGAAGUCAGCCUCGGCACAGGAUCACCACAAUAGCAAGGAGGUGACAACCGCUAGAAGAAUCUAGAGUGGCUAGAGAAGAUGCAGAUCGAGUGGGGAGAGAACCUGGGAGGCACGAGAUAUGAGAAGAGGAAAAGGGCAAUCGAGAGAUCGAGGUUGAUGAUGAAUAUGACAUAUGGGAUCAGGUGUGGGACCCGAUGGGAUAGGAACUGCCUGCUGAAUGAGGCGGCUCGUCCGCUCCGUCCAAG